GCGUAGAUAUCGGGAAGAACACCAGUGGCGAAAGGCGCUCUGCUGGGCCAUAAACUGACGCUCAUGGACGAAAGCCAGGGGAGCGAAAGGGAUUAGAUACCCCUGUAGUCCUGGCCGUAAACGAUGAACACUAGGUGUCGGGGGAAUCGACCCCCUCGGUGUCGUAGCUAACGCGUUAAGUGUUCCGCCUGGGGAGUACGCACGCAAGUGUGAAACUCAAAGGAAUUGACGGGGGCCCGCACAAGCGGUGGAGUAUGUGGUUUAAUUCGAUGCAACGCGAAGAACCUUACCAGGGUUUGACAUCCUGCGAACCUUUAAGAAAUUAGAGGGUGCCUUCGGGAACGCAGUGACAGGUGGUGCAUGGCUGUCGUCAGCUCGUGUCGUGAGAUGUUGGGUUAAGUCCCGCAACGAGCGCAACCCACGUUUUUAGUUGCCAGCAUUCAGUUGGGCACUCUAGAAAGACCGCCGGUGAUAAACCGGAGGAAGGUGUGGAUGACGUCAAGUCAUCAUGCCCCUUACAUCCUGGGCUACACACGUACUACAAUGCUGCGGACAAAGGGCAGCAAGCUCGCGAGAGCAAGCAAAUCCCAUAAACCGUGGCUCAGUUCAGAUCGUAGGCUGCAACUCGCCUACGUGAAGUAGGAAUCGCUAGUAAUCGCAGGUCAACAUACUGCGGUGAAUACGUUCCCGGGCCUUGUACACACCGCCCGUCACAUCAUGGAAGUUGGCCAUGCCCGAAGUCGUUACUCCAACCCUUGUGGAGGAGGACGCCGAAGGUGGGGCUAAUGACUGGGGUGAAGUCGUAACAAGGUAACC
Molecule: ribosomal RNA, 816 nt
Filed under: uncultured cyanobacterium
Lineage: Bacteria; Bacillati; Cyanobacteriota
Description: bacterial SSU rRNA
Rfam family: Bacterial small subunit ribosomal RNA
Source: RNAcentral